AUUUCUUGUUUUUUUUUUUAUGUUAAAUUAGGGGUGGAUGUGGCUUCUGGAAUGGAAAAGGAUUAGCUUUGGAUUUGUGGGAUAUCCAAGUCCUGCAGGAACUUGCUGGAAAUUUCUUAUAUUAGUGAUGGCUUGGAUGAAUUUCAGACUCAUCCUUCAGAAUUCUCUUGACACUGGAUUUUAGCUUUUGGUCUUCUCAAUUUUCUUUUCAUUUUUCAGCAGCCAAACUAAGGUUUCAAUGGAAUUUAAUCUGGAAGCCCGCAACAUUUGUGCUUUGGAAGAGUAUGUGCUGUUUAGAUACAUAGAUUUUCUGUGGAAGACAGGAGUAGGUGGCGGUGGUUUUGUCUUGAAAAAUAAAGGACAAAACGACCUGUCAUUUUCCUAACGCAUCAAACGAUAGCCCUUCUUGUUUUUUGGCUUUCUGAUUUCAAUGUUGUUUGUGCAUUUUUAAGUCGUUUUGAAGUGGUCGUUCAAAUGACAAUCUUUAGUGUUGAGAUUUGUCGUUUGCUAUUCAAUUGUCAUUUCCAUGGGAAUGUACCUUUUAAAGUUGAAACUCAUCGUUUGUUUGGUCACUGGACUCACACGUCAUUGUCAUGGGAUUGCUUUACGACAUGCCGUUUA
Molecule: unclassified non-coding RNA, 621 nt
Filed under: Hevea brasiliensis (rubber tree)
Lineage: Eukaryota; Viridiplantae; Streptophyta; Magnoliopsida; Malpighiales; Euphorbiaceae
Source: RNAcentral